ACAAGAUGAGAAUGGGAAUGGGAUGUCAGCACUUGAACUGUCCCCACCUAGCUUCACUCUCAGCUUGCUUUGUUAACCCUAGUACCUUUGCCAGAGUAGUGCUCACCUAGUAACAUUGUGCUCUCACAUUGCAGACAUUCACCCUGGUUGGGCAAGAUAUGCAAAACGCUGCUUUCUUCUGGUCCAUGAUGUUCCUGGUCCUGGCAGCUGCUAGUGGUCUGGGGCACUUCUUCAGAACGCUGGGUGUAGGCAUUGCUGGUGAAAACCUGACAUUCCGCCUGCGGGUGCUGUGUUGGCCAACAUACUGCGGCAACACAUGGGGUGGUUUGAUGAAGACUCCCAUUCCUCUGCCAAACUGGCCUCUCGGCUAGCGAGUGACAUUCCUGUUGUUAAAACUGCUACUGCCUGGCAGUAAUGUUCACAGCACUCAUAACGCUUGGAACGAGCUUGGCAUUGGCCUUUGCCUUUGGCUGGAAACUGGCCCCGGUGGCCAUUGUGCCCAUCCUGGCCCUGGCUGGUGGCCUGCAGCUGCGUGUUGAAAAGGCCUUCCAGCGUCGCGAUGCUCACCUCAUGACUCACGCUAUUGAAGGGAGUGAAGCAUCCAGCUCACGCUUACACUCCUGUUGUCGAGAUGAAAUAUUAGUGCCUAAGUCAUCUGCUUUCACUGAGCUCAGUAGUCUGAGUUUAUGUA
Dermacentor silvarum is the source of this 691-nucleotide long non-coding RNA. RefSeq lists it as uncharacterized. The transcript is spliced from 3 exons. Lineage: Eukaryota; Metazoa; Arthropoda; Arachnida; Ixodida; Ixodidae. The record is from RefSeq and is a predicted model, not a curated record.